RNAcentral lists this ribosomal RNA (465 nucleotides) under uncultured Klebsiella sp. RNAcentral's name for it is "bacterial SSU rRNA". It matches the Rfam family "Bacterial small subunit ribosomal RNA", at positions 338 to 795 of the family's 1533-position model. The record is from RNAcentral. Lineage: Bacteria; Pseudomonadati; Pseudomonadota; Gammaproteobacteria; Enterobacterales; Enterobacteriaceae.
CCUACGGGUGGCUGCAGUGGGGAAUAUUGCACAAUGGGCGCAAGCCUGAUGCAGCCAUCCCGCGUGUGUGAAGAAGGCCUUCGGGUUGUAAAGCACUUUCAGCGGGGAGGAAGGCGGUGAGGUUAAUAACCUCAUCGAUUGACGUUACCCGCAGAAGAAGCACCGGCUAACUCCGUGCCAGCAGCCGCGGUAAUACGGAGGGUGCAAGCGUUAAUCGGAAUUACUGGGCGUAAAGCGCACGCAGGCGGUCUGUCAAGUCGGAUGUGAAAUCCCCGGGCUCAACCUGGGAACUGCAUUCGAAACUGGCAGGCUAGAGUCUUGUAGAGGGGGGUAGAAUUCCAGGUGUAGCGGUGAAAUGCGUAGAGAUCUGGAGGAAUACCGGUGGCGAAGGCGGCCCCCUGGACAAAGACUGACGCUCAGGUGCGAAAGCGUGGGGAGCAAACAGGAUUAGAUACCCCUGUAGUC